Molecule: unclassified non-coding RNA, 223 nt
Filed under: plant metagenome
Description: partial contains small subunit ribosomal RNA, internal transcribed spacer 1, and 5.8S ribosomal RNA
Source: RNAcentral
GUUCCGUAGGUGAACCUGCGGAAGGAUCAUUAUCAUGUAAUUCAGUCCCCUUGGCUGUGUUAUAUAUAUACCCACUCUGUGUACCUUCUCCUGUUGCUUCCGCUGGGUGUGUAAUUCGCCCGGCGGAAGGGUAAAAAUAACCUCUGAGUAUUGAUGAAAUCUCUGUCUGAACCGAAUAGAAAGAAAAAUGUUAAAACUUUCAGCAACGGAUCUCUUGGUUCUG